Molecule: ribosomal RNA, 448 nt
Filed under: uncultured organism
Description: partial 16S ribosomal RNA
Rfam family: Bacterial small subunit ribosomal RNA
Source: RNAcentral
CACUCCUACGGGAGGCAGCAGUGGGGAAUAUUGGACAAUGGGCGCAAGCCUGAUCCAGCCAUGCCGCGUGAGUGAUGAAGGCCCUAGGGUUGUAAAGCUCUUUCACCGGUGAAGAUAAUGACGGUAACCGGAGAAGAAGCCCCGGCUAACUUCGUGCCAGCAGCCGCGGUAAUACGAAGGGGGCUAGCGUUGUUCGGAUUUACUGGGCGUAAAGCGCACGUAGGCGGACUAUUAAGUCAGGGGUGAAAUCCCGGGGCUCAACCCCGGAACUGCCUUUGAUACUGGUAGUCUUGAGUUCGAGGGAGGUGAGUGGAAUUCCGAGUGUAGAGGUGAAAUUCGUAGAUAUUCGGAGGAACACCAGUGGCGAAGGCGGCUCACUGGCUCGAUACUGACGCUGAGGUGCGAAAGCGUGGGGAGCAAACAGGAUUAGAAACCCCGGUAGUCCCAU